UACAGAGGGUGCAAGCGUUAAUCGGAAUUACUGGGCGUAAAGCGUGCGUAGUCGGUUAUUUAAGUCGGGUGUGAAAGCCCCGGGCUCAACCUGGGAAUUGCAUUCGAUACUGGAUAGCUAGAGUUCGGCAGAGGGAAGCGGAAUUUCCGGUGUAGCGGUGAAAUGCGUAGAUAUCGGAAGGAACAUCAGUGGCGAAAGCGGCUUCCUGGACCAGAACUGACGAUCAGGCACGAAAGCGUGGGGAGCAAACAGA
This 253-nucleotide ribosomal RNA is filed under the name uncultured bacterium. RNAcentral describes it as "partial 16S ribosomal RNA". It matches the Rfam family "Bacterial small subunit ribosomal RNA", at positions 524 to 776 of the family's 1533-position model. The record is from RNAcentral.